RNAcentral lists this ribosomal RNA (253 nucleotides) under uncultured bacterium. Its description in RNAcentral is "partial 16S ribosomal RNA". It matches the Rfam family "Bacterial small subunit ribosomal RNA", at positions 524 to 776 of the family's 1533-position model. The record is from RNAcentral.
UACGAAGGGGGCUAGCGUUGUUCGGAAUUACUGGGCGUAAAGCGCACGUAGGCGGACUAUUAAGUCAGGGGUGAAAUCCCGGGGCUCAACCCCGGAACUGCCUUUGAUACUGGUAGUCUCGAGUCCGGAAGAGGUGAGUGGAAUUCCGAGUGUAGAGGUGAAAUUCGUAGAUAUUCGGAAGAACACCAGUGGCGAAGGCGGCUCACUGGACCGGCAUUGACGCUGAUGUGCGAAAGCGUGGGGAGCAAACAGG